AACGAACGCUGGCGGCAUGCCUAACACAUGCAAGUCGAACGAAGGCUUCGGCCUUAGUGGCGCACGGGUGCGUAACGCGUGGGAAUCUGCCCUUGGGUUCGGAAUAACAGUGAGAAAUUACUGCUAAUACCGGAUGAUGACUUCGGUCCAAAGAUUUAUCGCCCAAGGAUGAGCCCGCGUAAGAUUAGCUAGUUGGUGAGGUAAAGGCUCACCAAGGCGACGAUCUUUAGCUGGUCUGAGAGGAUGAUCAGCCACACUGGGACUGAGACACGGCCCAGACUCCUACGGGAGGCAGCAGUGGGGAAUAUUGGACAAUGGGCGAAAGCCUGAUCCAGCAAUGCCGCGUGAGUGAUGAAGGCCUUAGGGUUGUAAAGCUCUUUUACCAGGGAUGAUAAGGACAGACCCUGGAGAA
Molecule: ribosomal RNA, 412 nt
Filed under: Sphingomonas sp. oral taxon B65
Lineage: Bacteria; Pseudomonadati; Pseudomonadota; Alphaproteobacteria; Sphingomonadales; Sphingomonadaceae
Description: bacterial SSU rRNA
Rfam family: Bacterial small subunit ribosomal RNA
Source: RNAcentral